GAUGAAGAACGUAGCAAAAUGCGAUAAGUAAUGUGAAUUGCAGAAUUCAGUGAAUCAUCGAAUAUUUGAACGCACAUUGCGCCCGCUGGUAUUCCGGCGGGCAUGCCUGUUCGAGCGUCAUUUCAACCCUCAAGCCCCCGGGUUUGGUGUUGGGGAUCGGCUCUGCCCUUCUGGGCGGUGCCGCCCCCGAAAUACAUUGGCGGUCUCGCUGCAGCCUCCAUUGCGUAGUAGCUAACACCUCGCAACUGGAACGCGGCGCGGCCAUGCCGUAAAACCCCAACUUCUGAAUGUUGACCUCGGAUCAGGUAGGAAUACCCGCUGAACUUAAGCAUAUCAAUAAGCGGAGGA
This 348-nucleotide unclassified non-coding RNA is filed under the name soil metagenome. RNAcentral describes it as "partial contains 5.8S ribosomal RNA, internal transcribed spacer 2, and large subunit ribosomal RNA". The stretch from base 1 to 120 matches the Rfam family "5.8S ribosomal RNA", at positions 35 to 154 of the family's 154-position model. The record is from RNAcentral.